RNAcentral lists this long non-coding RNA (207 nucleotides) under Elaeis guineensis (African oil palm). Its description in RNAcentral is "long non-coding RNA (EGUI_LNC049046)". Lineage: Eukaryota; Viridiplantae; Streptophyta; Magnoliopsida; Arecales; Arecaceae. The record is from RNAcentral.
CCCCAAGUAAUUUCACAAAUUUUUUCAUGAACUUCUCUCAGUGCAUAGUCGGCAUCUGUCUGUCCCAAACACUUCAAUAAGGGAAGAGAGAACGACCUCUUAUAUAAUUGACUAUUCAUCAAAAUAUAUUAUGAGGCCGUCCAUUUGAGUUGUUUGGCUUUUGAGAGAUCCGUAGAGAGAGUUUCAUCAGUCAAGUAUUGGAUAAUC